GUGGUACUCCCUCUGUCCGGAAAUACUUGUCAUCAAAAUGGAUAAAAGGGGAUGUAUCUAGACGUAUUUUAGUUCUAGAUACAUCUCUUUUUAUCCAUUUUGAUGACAAGUAUUUUCGGACGAGGGAGUAACUG
This is a non-coding RNA of Triticum urartu, 134 nucleotides long. The record is from Rfam. Lineage: Eukaryota; Viridiplantae; Streptophyta; Magnoliopsida; Poales; Poaceae.